AAACCAACCGGGAUUGCCUUAGUAACGGCGAGUGAAGCGGCAAAAGCUCAAAUUUGAAAUCUGGUACCUUCGGUGCCCGAGUUGUAAUUUGGAGAGGGCAACUUUGGGGCCGUUCCUUGUCUAUGUUCCUUGGAACAGGACGUCAUAGAGGGUGAGAAUCCCGUGUGGCGAGGAGUGCGGUUCUUUGUAAAGUGCCUUCGAAGAGUCGAGUUGUUUGGGAAUGCAGCUCUAAGUGGGUGGUAAAUUCCAUCUAAAGCUAAAUAUUGGCGAGAGACCGAUAGCGAACAAGUACAGUGAUGGAAAGAUGAAAAGAACUUUGAAAAGAGAGUGAAAAAGUACGUGAAAUUGUUGAAAGGGAAGGGCAUUUGAUCAGACAUGGUGUUUUGUGCCCUCUGCUCCUUGUGGGUAGGGGAAUCUCGCAUUUCACUGGGCCAGCAUCAGUUUUGGUGGCAGGAUAAAUCCAUAGGAAUGUAGCUUGCCUCGGUAAGUAUUAUAGCCUGYGGGAAUACUGCCAGCUGGGACUGAGGACUGCGACGUAAGUCAAGGAUGCUGGCAUAAUGGUUAUAUGCCGCC
RNAcentral lists this ribosomal RNA (573 nucleotides) under Saccharomyces cerevisiae (brewer's yeast). Its description in RNAcentral is "eukaryotic LSU rRNA". It matches the Rfam family "Eukaryotic large subunit ribosomal RNA", at positions 62 to 649 of the family's 3401-position model. Lineage: Eukaryota; Fungi; Ascomycota; Saccharomycetes; Saccharomycetales; Saccharomycetaceae. The record is from RNAcentral.